AACGAACGCUGGCGGCAUGCCUAACACAUGCAAGUCGAACGAGACCUUCGGGUCUAGUGGCGCACGGGUGCGUAACGCGUGGGAACCUGCCCUUAGGUUCGGAAUAACUCCCCGAAAGGGGUGCUAAUACCGGAUAAUGUCUUCGGACCAAAGAUUUAUCGCCUUUGGAUGGGCCCGCGUUGUGUUGGCUAGUUGGUAGGGUAAAAGCCUACCAAGGCGACGAUCCAUAGCUGGUCUGAGAGGAUGAUCAGCCACACUGGGACUGAGACACGGCCCAGACUCCUACGGGAGGCAGCAGUGGGGAAUAUUGGACAAUGGGCGAAAGCCUGAUCCAGCAAUGCCGCGUGAGUGAUGAAGGCCUUAGGGUUGUAAAGCUCUUUUACCCGGGAUGAUAAUGACAGUACCGGGAGAAUAAGCUCCGGCUAACUCCGUG
This 433-nucleotide ribosomal RNA is filed under the name uncultured bacterium. RNAcentral describes it as "partial 16S ribosomal RNA". It matches the Rfam family "Bacterial small subunit ribosomal RNA", at positions 29 to 507 of the family's 1533-position model. The record is from RNAcentral.